This 133-nucleotide ribosomal RNA is filed under the name uncultured bacterium. RNAcentral describes it as "partial 16S ribosomal RNA". It matches the Rfam family "Bacterial small subunit ribosomal RNA", at positions 355 to 502 of the family's 1533-position model. The record is from RNAcentral.
UGGGGAAUUUUCCGCAAUGGGCGAAAGCCUGACGGAGCAAUACCGCGUGAGGGAUGACGGCCUAUGGGUUGUAAACCUCUUUUUUCAGGGAGGAAUCAAUGACGUGUACCUGAAGAAUAAGCAUCGGCUAACU